GAUGGGUAGGGGUCCUGAGAGGGAGAUCCCCCCACACUGGUACUGAGACACGGACCAGACUCCUACGGGUAGGCAGCAGUGAGGAAUAUUGGACAAUGGGCGCAAGCCUGAUCCAGCCAUGCCGCGUGCAGGAUGACGGUCCUAUGGAUUGUAAACUGCUUUUAAUACAGGAAGAAACCCUGGUUCGUGAACCAGCUUGACGGUACUGUAAGAAUAAGGAUCGGCUAACUCCGUGCCAGCAGCCGCGGUAAUACGGAGGAUUCCAAGCGUUAUCCGGAAUCAUUGGGUUUAAAGGGUCCGUAGGCGGUUUAAUAAGUCAGUGGUGAAAGCCCAUCGCUCAACGGUGGAACGGCCAUUGAUACUGUUAAACUUGAAUUAUUAGGAAGUAACUAGAAUAUGUAGUGUAGCGGUGAAAUGCUUAGAGAUUACAUGGAAUACCAAUUGCGAAGGCAGGUUACUACUAAUAUAUUGACGCUGAUGGACGAAAGCGUGGGUAGCGAACAGGAUUAGAUACCCUGGUAGUCCACGCCGUAAACGAUGGCAUACUAGCUGUUGGGAGCAAUCUCAGUGGCUAAGCGAAAGUGAUAAGUAUCCCACCUGGGGAGUACGUUCGCAAGAAUGAAACUCAAAGGAAUUGACGGGGGCCCGCACAAGCGGUGGAGCAUGUGGUUUAAUUCGAUGAUACGCGAGGAACCUUACCAAGGCUUAAAUGUAGUUUGACCGAUUUGGAAACAGAUUUUUUGGCAAGACAAAUUACAAGGUGCUGCAUGGUUGUCGUCAGCUCGUGCCGUGGAGAUGUCAGGUUAAGUCCUAUAACGAGCGCAACCCC
RNAcentral lists this ribosomal RNA (829 nucleotides) under Flavobacterium sp. E10_ICE11. RNAcentral describes it as "bacterial SSU rRNA". It matches the Rfam family "Bacterial small subunit ribosomal RNA", at positions 278 to 1105 of the family's 1533-position model. The record is from RNAcentral. Lineage: Bacteria; Pseudomonadati; Bacteroidota; Flavobacteriia; Flavobacteriales; Flavobacteriaceae.